UGCCUACGGGGCGCAGCAGUGGGGAAUAUUGCACAAUGGGGGAAACCCUGAUGCAGCGACGCCGCGUGAGCGAUGAAGUAUUUCGGUAUGUAAAGCUCUAUCAGCAGGGAAGAAAAUGACGGUACCUGACUAAGAAGCCCCGGCUAACUACGUGCCAGCAGCCGCGGUAAUACGUAGGGGGCAAGCGUUAUCCGGAUUUACUGGGUGUAAAGGGAGUGUAGACGGUUCUGCAAGCCAGAUGUGAAAGCCCGGGGCCCAACCCCGGGACUGCAUUUGGAACUGUAAGGCUAGAGUGUCGGAGAGGG
Molecule: ribosomal RNA, 305 nt
Filed under: uncultured bacterium
Lineage: Bacteria
Description: bacterial SSU rRNA
Rfam family: Bacterial small subunit ribosomal RNA
Source: RNAcentral